RNAcentral lists this ribosomal RNA (487 nucleotides) under uncultured bacterium. RNAcentral describes it as "bacterial SSU rRNA". It matches the Rfam family "Bacterial small subunit ribosomal RNA", at positions 28 to 511 of the family's 1533-position model. The record is from RNAcentral.
GACGAACGCUGGCGGCGUGCUUAAUACAUGCAAGUCAACGACUUUUAGAGUAGCAAUAUUUUAAAAGGAGUGGCGCACGGGUGAGUAACACGUAGGUAAUCUGCCUUCAGGACUGACACAACUCGUCGAAAGACGGGCUAAUAUCAGAUAAUGCAGCGGCUCCGCAUGGAGACAGUUGUUAAAGUACAAGCGCCUGAAGAUGAGCCUGCGGUCCAUUAGCUAGUUGGUAGAGUAACAGCCUACCAAGGCAACGAUGGAUAGCUGGUCUGAGAGGAUGAUCAGCCACACUGGAACUGAGACACGGUCCAGACUCCUACGGGAGGCAGCAGUAAGGAAUAUUGCUCAAUGGCCGAAAGGCUGAAGCAGCAACGCCGCGUGAAGGAUGAAUGGCCUUUGGCCUGUAAACUUCUGUAAAAAGGGAAAACAAUCAAGGCAUGUCCUGAUUUGAUUGUACCUUUGAAGUAAGCCCCGGCUAACUACGUGCCAG